GGUGAAAGCGGGGGAUCGCAAGACCUCGCGCUAUUGGAGCGGCCGAUAUCAGAUUAGGUAGUUGGUGGGGUAAAAGCCUACCAAGCCGACGAUCUGUAGCUGGUCUGAGAGGACGACCAGCCACACUGGGACUGAGACACGGCCCAGACUCCUACGGGAGGCAGCAGUGGGGAAUUUUGGACAAUGGGCGCAAGCCUGAUCCAGCCAUGCCGCGUGCGGGGAGAAGGCCUUCGGGUUGUAAACCGCUUUUGUCAGGGAAGAAAUCUUCUGAGUUAAUACCUCGGGAGGAUGACGGUACCUGAAGAAUAAGCACCGGCUAACUACGUGCCAGCAGCCGCGGUAAUACGUAGGGUGCGAGCGUUAAUCGGAAUUACUGGGCGUAAAGCGUGCGCAGGCGGUCUUGCAAGACAGGUGUGAAAUCCCCGGGCUUAACCUGGGAACUGCACUUGUGACUGCAAGGCUGGAGUACGGCAGAGGGGGAUGGAGUUCCGCGUGUAGCA
This 500-nucleotide ribosomal RNA is filed under the name uncultured bacterium. RNAcentral's name for it is "bacterial SSU rRNA". It matches the Rfam family "Bacterial small subunit ribosomal RNA", at positions 199 to 680 of the family's 1533-position model. The record is from RNAcentral.